GUGAGGAUUUGAGGUACAAAAAUAGGCCGUUGUGAAUUCUUGCUCAAGAGGUGAAAGAAUUGAGCAAUCGAGUCAUACCCUAUGUGAAUGUGGUAGGAAGAAAUUAUGGGGAGCAUAAGACAACUUCUGAGCCAGAAGCUGUGAUGUUGGAUUUCUAUCUCUUCUUGUUCGAGAGUUCUUCUUAAGGUAUAAAUAUAAGAUUCGGUGAUGAAAUUUUUUUUAGAUUUGGGAGAAUGUGGUAUCUCGAAUGGUUAGCUGUCAGAAUAACUAUGGUAUUAGUGACUGGUCAAUACAUUUGUAGAGUGUCAGAACGAGUUAGAGUCGUUUUGGUGCGAAAUAGACAUGAAAAUAG
Molecule: long non-coding RNA, 352 nt
Filed under: Ananas comosus (pineapple)
Lineage: Eukaryota; Viridiplantae; Streptophyta; Magnoliopsida; Poales; Bromeliaceae
Description: long non-coding RNA (ACOM_LNC003703)
Source: RNAcentral